CCUACGGGUGGCUGCAGUGAGGAAUAUUGGUCAAUGGGAGAGAUCCUGAACCAGCCAAGCCGCGUGAGGGAAGACGGCCCUAUGGGUUGUAAACCUCUUUUGUCGGAGAACAAAACCCGGGACGUGUCCCGGACUGCGUGUAUCCGACGAAAAAGCAUCGGCUAACUCCGUGCCAGCAGCCUCGGUACUACGGGGGAUGCGAGCGUUAUCAGGAUUUAUUGGGUUUAAAGGAAACGUAGGCGGUCCGUUAAGUCAGCGGGAAGAUGGAGGGGACCAACCCCGUCGAGCCGUUGACACUGGCAGACUUGAGUGGGCGAGAAGUACGCGGAAUGCGCGGUGUAGCGGUGAAAUGCAUAGAUAUCGCGAAGAACUCCGAUGGCGAAGGCAGCGUACCGGCGCCAGACUGACGCUGAGGCACGAAAGCGUGGGGAUCGAACAGGAUUAGAUACCCUUGUAGUC
This 459-nucleotide ribosomal RNA is filed under the name uncultured bacterium. RNAcentral's name for it is "partial 16S ribosomal RNA". It matches the Rfam family "Bacterial small subunit ribosomal RNA", at positions 338 to 795 of the family's 1533-position model. The record is from RNAcentral.